GACGAACGCUGGCGGCGUGCUUAACACAUGCAAGUCGAACGGGUCUGCCCUGUUUUUUGCGGGGUGGGUCAGUGGCGAACGGGUGAGUAACACGUGAGUAACCUGCCCCUCACUUCUGGAUAACCGCUUGAAGGGGUGGCUAAUACGGGGUGUUCUGGCUGUGCCGCAUGGUGUGGCUGGGAAAGAUUCACUUUUGUGGUGUUUUGGUGGGGGAUGGGCUCGCGGCCUAUCAGCUUGUUGGUGGGGUGAUGGCCUGCCAAGGCUUUGACGGGUAGCCGGCCUGAGAGGGUGGGCGGUCACACUGGGACUGAGAUACGGCCCAGACUCCUGCGGUAGGCAGCAGUGGGGGGUAUUGCACAAUGGGCGGAAGCCUGAUGCAGCGACGUCGCGUGAGGGAUGGAGGCCUUCGGGUUGUGAACCUCUUUCGCCGGUGAAGAAGGUCCUGCUCUUUGUGGUGGGGUUGACGGUAGCCGGGUUAUGAAGCGCCGGCUAACUACGUG
RNAcentral lists this ribosomal RNA (500 nucleotides) under uncultured bacterium. RNAcentral's name for it is "partial 16S ribosomal RNA". It matches the Rfam family "Bacterial small subunit ribosomal RNA", at positions 28 to 507 of the family's 1533-position model. The record is from RNAcentral.